Amphimedon queenslandica is the source of this 714-nucleotide long non-coding RNA. RefSeq lists it as uncharacterized. NCBI's taxonomy places the organism in Eukaryota, Metazoa, Porifera, Demospongiae, Haplosclerida, Niphatidae. The transcript has 3 exons. The record is from RefSeq and is a predicted model, not a curated record.
CUUGAAUUGUUAUUUUUAUUGCACAAUAGCAGGAAGACCUGCAACAUGACACUGUUUAUUCCAGUACACAAUCAAAUGUAGUAAAAGAAGAUCAGCCUGCAGCUAAAAGUAUGAAUGAAAGCACCAAUAAGCAGUUUAACUAUCAGUCUCUUUCAGAAGGUAUGAUGCCAUAUUUAUUGUGAAUCUUUCUUGUAGAUGAGUUUGAAGGUGUACAUGUUGCUGGAAAAAAGUUAUUUCAAUUUAAAACAAAACUUCCACAAUUAUUGAACUGGGAAGAGUAUGGUUUGAGGAUAACAGUACUAGAAGGAGCUGUUAUACCUUCUGGAACCAUUGAAGUAGCCAUUACUGCUCUUGUUGGUGGAGAGUUUAUAUUACCAGAGGAUUCUGAGCUAGUCAGUGCUGUGUACACUAUAACUGUCUCCAAGCCUCUACUGAAACCAGUUCUGCUAGAGAUACAGCAUUGUGUUUCAAUUGAAACACAACCUCAAGCAGAUUAUCUCAGCUUUGUUACAGCUUCCUCUAGUGACCGCUGUCCUUUCAAAUUUCAAUCAGUAAAUGAAGGAAGUUUCCCAGUUGGCUCUCAGUAUGGCAGUAUACUCAUUUCUGAGUUUUCUGAAUGGGCCAUUGUCCGAACCAUUAAGGGCUGGUUGAAAAAAUUGCGCCACUCAAGUCGGAGUGUAUCUUCUCAAUCUAUGGAAAAUAAGAAUCCUCUCA